AACGAACGCUGGCGGCAGGCCUAACACAUGCAAGUCGAGCGCGCCCUUCGGGGUGAGCGGCGGACGGGUGAGUAACGCGUGGGAACGUGCCCUUUUCUACGGAAUAGCCUCGGGAAACUGAGAGUAAUACCGUAUACGCCCUUUGGGGGAAAGAUUUAUCGGAAAAGGAUCGGCCCGCGUUGGAUUAGGUAGUUGGUGGGGUACUGGCCUACCAAGCCGACGAUCCAUAGCUGGUUUGAGAGGAUGAUCAGCCACACUGGGACUGAGACACGGCCCAGACUCCUACGGGAGGCAGCAGUGGGGAAUCUUAGACAAUGGGGGCAACCCUGAUCUAGCCAUGCCGCGUGAGUGAUGAAGGCCUUAGGGUUGUAAAGCUCUUUCAGCUGGGAAGAUAAUGACGGUACCAGCAGAAGAAGCCCCGGCUAACUCCGUG
RNAcentral lists this ribosomal RNA (433 nucleotides) under uncultured bacterium. Its description in RNAcentral is "partial 16S ribosomal RNA". It matches the Rfam family "Bacterial small subunit ribosomal RNA", at positions 29 to 507 of the family's 1533-position model. The record is from RNAcentral.